GCCCUUUCUGGUUCGCGAGGAGGCGUGAUCGGGCUGGUGACCCGGUCCGCGCGCGCGGACGGGGUCGGCCCGCGCGGUGGCUCCGCGCGGGGAGCU
RNAcentral lists this transfer RNA (96 nucleotides) under Streptomyces tanashiensis. Its description in RNAcentral is "tRNA-Thr(ggt)". The record is from RNAcentral. Lineage: Bacteria; Bacillati; Actinomycetota; Actinomycetes; Kitasatosporales; Streptomycetaceae.